This is a small nucleolar RNA of Lineus longissimus, 80 nucleotides long. RefSeq annotates it as small nucleolar RNA snR60/Z15/Z230/Z193/J17. The record is from RefSeq and is a predicted model, not a curated record. Lineage: Eukaryota; Metazoa; Nemertea; Pilidiophora; Heteronemertea; Lineidae. The transcript has a single exon.
CUGUUGUAAAUGAUGAUUGUAUAGUUCAGCAGAGGAUGUUUCCAUUGAAGACAGCCUUUCGCCCCUAUCUGAUACAACUC